AAAUUGAAGAGUUUGAUCAUGGCUCAGAUUGAACGCUGGCGGCAGGCCUAACACAUGCAAGUCGAACGGUAACAGGAAGCAGCUUGCUGCUUCGCUGACGAGUGGCGGACGGG
This 113-nucleotide ribosomal RNA is filed under the name Escherichia coli. RNAcentral describes it as "partial 16S ribosomal RNA". It matches the Rfam family "Bacterial small subunit ribosomal RNA", at positions 1 to 106 of the family's 1533-position model. The record is from RNAcentral. Lineage: Bacteria; Pseudomonadati; Pseudomonadota; Gammaproteobacteria; Enterobacterales; Enterobacteriaceae. RNAcentral also lists the same sequence under 15 other names.